RNAcentral lists this small RNA (408 nucleotides) under Histoplasma capsulatum. Its description in RNAcentral is "hypothetical RNA". The record is from RNAcentral. Lineage: Eukaryota; Fungi; Ascomycota; Eurotiomycetes; Onygenales; Ajellomycetaceae. RNAcentral also lists the same sequence under 1 other name.
GAUAAAUCCAUACCAGGUAAUCUGUCUGCUCUCGCUUGUUGAACGUUCUCCUGCAACGGCAGGAUUUUUAUGCUCGGUUAUGAGCGGCUUGGGGAGUGGGAUGGAGAGUUUGACAUCUGCACAGCCUGGCCAGCCGGUUAGUUAUUUAAAUAUGUGGGGGUUGUUUGAGCCCUAUCAGCAUCAACUAGUUACUAGUAACUUCAACUCGCUGUGGGAUGCAAAGAACAGUAUUCGCUCCAAUGAUCCCCUGGACAACCAUUUGCUAAUAUUGAAUGGUAGAAAGCUGGAGGGAGUGAGGAGAUGUUGCACCAAUUUCCUUUUGUGCAAGCAGCCAAGUUUCCUGUCGAGGGAAUGCGCUCCGGUUGUGGCUAAAAGGAAUUGUUUAGUGAGGAAAGGCUCCGAAAGAGG